CCUGGCUCACCUUCCUCCUCCAGGGCAGGACCGCUGGACUGGGUCCAGUGGGGAGAGAGAUUCUGGGACACCAGGCUUAAUUGGAAUCGCGCAGCUCUUCAUCCUCAGCUCAGAGAGGCACGGAACACGAAGCCACGCCCCUAUCUCUGCGCCUGCGCACUUGCAACGCGCAAGGACGGUAACCUCAAGACUGUGUCAGCCUGAAUGGAAAUACUAUUUCAGUCACUGAAAGUGACACACUGCCUCAGUGAAUUGGUGAUAGUAGAAGAACCUGACUCACUUCUACAGCUGGAGGGGCUGUGUACUCCGGCCAACAGCAGACUGACCUUCUGCCUAGUCUCCUUUUCUCCUCCUUGCACCCCAAUGGACUGGGGCAGUUUGCAGCAGUAUCCUUCUUGGCUAUCAAGCCCCAUCCUCUACUAUAACAGGAGGGCAGCCAGAGAGCCUGCUGCCCCUUCUCCACUGAUUUAUACAUAAACUGUGCGUAAAACAAACACUAGACGUAUAGAUACAUGAUUCAUGUUAGCAAAGGAUUAGUGAACAAGGGUACACAGGAAUAUUCAUACAAAUAUACAUGGAAAUAUCACUACUACACAAUAACACAUUCACACCUGAGUUGAAAUAUGAAUUUAAAACCUUGCCAUCUUAAACUAAAGAAUAUUUCUUGUAACAUAUGAUGAGUAAUUUCUAGAAUACUAAAAGACUAAUAUGAGAGAAAUUCUUAAAUGCUUAAGGGGAUUGAAGAAUUGAAUCUAUAACUAAAAUUGUGUUAAAAUUCCUAACAGUGUUGAAAAAUUCAAGGAGAAAAAAAUGAAAGGGGAUAACAUAAUCAAAAUUUAACACAGAUAACAAGAUUGGUUGUAGAAUCCAUGGGACAAAAAUCUAGAAUAAAAUUCCAAUUGAAAGAUGUAAUAGUUACAAGUGUAAGAUUGUUAAAAAACUAAUAGUCCUUUAUUAUAUUAAAUCCCAAACUAUCAAAUGUAAGACUGAAAAAGAAUGCAGAAUUGCCUCAGACACUAGAUAUAUCUUAGUAAAAGAGUGUAUUUUCAAUUUAAGAAAGCUUUUUUUCUUUCAGAAUGUGUUUUACUUUGAACCCAGGGAAAAUAUUUCCCUGUGGUCUUAACAAAAUAAUGUAGCACUUGGGGGCAAAGAUGCAGCCCAGAAGCCCUGCACCAGAAGCCAAGAUGGAGAAGACCUCCAUGGCCACUAUCACUUUCCCCUUGCUGCUGUGGUACACAGGGAGGAAUGUGACCCACACAGCAGAACACCAGCAUGCUGAAUGUCAGGAACUUGGCUUCAUUGAAUGUGUCAGGCAGGUUUCUGCCCAGGAAAACCACAGUGAAGCUGACCAGGGCCAAGGAGCCCAGGUAUCCCAGGGCACAGUAGAAGGCAGUAAGGGAGCCCUUGUUGCAGAUGUUGAUGAUGUGGCCAUGCUCAAUGUGUGUGUCUGUGUCAAUGUAGGGUGGGUUUGUCCCCAUCCAGACUCCACAGAGAGUGAUUUGGAUCAGAGGGAAAAUGGGGAUGAUGUAGUUUGGUGCCCCUGAUACCAGCAACUGCCUCAUCCUUCUACCUUGAACAGUCACCUUAAAGGCCAGCACCAAAGUAAUGGUUUUGGCCAACAGCCACAGUGAAGACAACUGCAAAUGUGGUCUGCUGGAGGAUGCAUGUGGCUGUGUUGGGACAGCCAAUGAAGAGCAAGGCACAGAGGAAACAAAAGGUGAGGGAGAUGAGCAGGGUGUAGCUGAGAGUCCUGUUGCUGGCCUUGACAAUGGGAGUGUCUCUGUGUUUCACAAAGAGCCCAAGGACAGCAGCCGUGAGGACAGUUAGACUGAGGGCAGUGCCAACCAGAGCUUUUCCCAAAAGAUCUUCGUAACCAAAAAAAAAAAAAAAAAAAAAAAAAAAAAAAAAAAAAGAUCUUCGUAACCCAGAAAAGUCACAGCUUUUUACAGGCAGUGGUUUUUCUGAAUGUUGGAAUAUUUAUGGUUAGAACACUUCACACUCUGCUCCAUAUCUACUAAAAAUGAAAACAGUCAUUUGCCUAAGCAUAUUAUUUGCCUUUUUCCCCAAUAAGAUCAUCCCUAGAACUUACAAGACUUCAAUUAAAUUGUCAACUUUUAAAUUUUUUUCUUUGGGAUUGAACUCAAAAACUUUGCCCUGAGUUAUAUUCCUAAUCCUUUUUAAUUUUAUUAUUUUGAGAAAGGAUCUCUUUAAUUCACUCUGUUGCCAAUUCUGUCUUCCCACAGAAAAUCCUCUUGCCUCAGUUAGCCAGAGCCAUAGAUUCCAGGCAUGCAUCAUCACACCUCACUUUUGCCUUUGUUUCUACACACAGAAUAAAAUAACAGGAUAUAGAGAGUAACUCUUUUUUUUUUUUUUUUUUUUUUUUGUCUUUUUCAUUUUUAUUGGUACCGGGGAUCGAACUCACGACUGCCUGCCUGCAAGGUAGGUGCUUAUGCCGCUGAGGUAAAUCCCCAGCCCCUAGAGAGUAACUCUUAUGUAAUACUGCUUGUUAUUUUUCUUUUAAAUUCUGGCAUAUGCAUGAAAACUUUCUAUUUUUGCAAAGUAAUAAAUGAUGUGCCUUUAUUACUUCUCUUACUUUACUUAUUUCAUCUGUAUCAAAACUUCAUAAAUUAUUUCCCAGAUAUUCAGUGAACAAUCUCAUAUUAGGAAGCCAACAUGGUUGCUAAGUUCCUGGGAAAUACUUAAGAAGAAACCCUGAAAGAGAAAUUGUUCCAUUAUUGAGCCUCUCCAUCUAUGAACGUGCUUUCUGCAGCUACCGAUUUAAUUUUUAUUGUCAAAGGAUUAUUUCAAUAAUUUAACUUUGGUGUCUUUCAAAAACAUUACAGGAUAUAUCACUAUAUAUUUAAUGAUUUUUAAAUGUUAUAAAAAUCAAUUUUCAAAAUUUUUUAUAAGCACCUUAUGACUGAGGUAUGGAAAAAGGUUUCAUUUUUUGAGAUAAUCUUGUAUUCCAUAAAUAAGAAAUUCAAUAUCAUUUUAUUUAUUUACAUGAAUUUCAUACUUAAAACUGUUGUCACUGGAAAAUUUUUUCAUGUGUUUUCUUUAUUGCAUUGCCUAUGGUGUAGAGUGUGGCAUUAGUAUGAUAGCAAAAGUUGUUAUCUCAUUGUUUCUUUCGAAAAUGAAGCACAAACUGUAAAGUGUGCUAUAGGAUAACAUAAACAUCAAUAUUGGGAGGCCAGUUACAGACAUUCUCCUAUAGCUUAUUUGGUAAUAAAUAAUCUUGUAGUUUUUAAAUCACAGUGAUGUCCACUUUGUUAUAGUAUCACCAUUUAGUAGCAUCAUUUUUAUUUUAUAAGGAGCUAGUGCAUUUAACCAUGUUUUAUAAACUGAGUUUGCUCAUGGUAUGCCAUUCCUAAAAUAUAUACCUCAAUUUGGAAUAGGACAUGUGAAUUUAGUUUAAAAAGGAAGGUAGACCGUGAACUUUGUUCCUUCUAAUUGUGCUUUCAGCUAUGAGAAACACAACUUACGUCCUGAAAAAAUGACUUGAUUUUCCUCUUUUCCUCUGCUGUAAAAGAAUGAGGUUAACAUUAAUAUGAUUUCGAGGGGCUGGGGAUUUAGCUCAGUGGCAUAAGAACCUGCCUUGCAAGCAGGCGGUUGUGAGUUCGAUCCCCGGUACCAAUAAAAAAAAAAUGAAAUAAGUAUGAUUUUGAAUGUUCAUGCAUUUCACUGCUAAUAUUAUUAACCAACAAAUAUUUGGAGUGAAAUGUUAUACUAUAUGCUCCUAUAUGUUAUGAGACACGGUAAUAUGGAGAUACUACUGCUAUAGAGAUUUAAUUUUUUUCUUAGUACUGUUUUGCUGCUUUCCUGUGAUUUUAUAGCUUUCAAGGAAUAGGGUGAUUUGAAUUUACUUUUAUUUUCAUAACAAUUUUUCCAUAUAACAGUAUUAAUUGAGAAAAUUCUCUUAUGUGAGCUUUAAAUUUUUCUCUUUUUUUCAUGAGUAGUACUCAGAGUUGUCACUUUUUGUUACCAGAAUCACAUUUAACUCUGCUCAUUUUCUCUCUGUCUUAAUUUUUUAAAUAUUACUUUCAGAUUGUAUCCCAACUUUCACUUCUUCAUGUUUAAUUUAUUCUUUUUUCUAGUGUGUAAUAAAUAUUUCUUUUUCUUAA
Long non-coding RNA from Cavia porcellus (domestic guinea pig), 4121 nucleotides. RefSeq lists it as uncharacterized. The record is from RefSeq and is a predicted model, not a curated record. The transcript has 2 exons. Lineage: Eukaryota; Metazoa; Chordata; Mammalia; Rodentia; Caviidae.